RNAcentral lists this ribosomal RNA (468 nucleotides) under uncultured bacterium. RNAcentral's name for it is "partial 16S ribosomal RNA". It matches the Rfam family "Bacterial small subunit ribosomal RNA", at positions 28 to 507 of the family's 1533-position model. The record is from RNAcentral.
GACGAACGCUGGCGGCGUGCUUAACACAUGCAAGUCGAACGGAAAGGCCCUGCUUUUGUGGGGUGCUCGAGUGGCGAACGGGUAAGUAACACGUGAGUAACCUGCCCUUGACUUUGGGAUAACUUCAGGAAACUGGGGCUAAUACCGGAUAGGAGCUCCUGCUGCAUGGUGGGGGUUGGAAAGUUUCGGCGGUUGGGGAUGGACUCGCGGCUUAUCAGCUUGUUGGUGGGGUAGUGGCUUACCAAGGCUUUGACGGGUAGCCGGCCUGAGAGGGUGACCGGCCACAUUGGGAUGGAGAUACGGCCCAGACUCCUACGGGAGGCAGGAGUGGGGAAUAUUGCACAAUGGGCGGAAGCCUGAUGCAGCAACGCCGCGUGCGGGAUGACGGCAUUCGGGUUGUAUACCGCUUUCGCCUGUGACGAAGCGUGAGUGACGGUAAUGGGUAAAGAAGCUCCGGCUAACUACGUG